This 247-nucleotide ribosomal RNA is filed under the name Ostreococcus mediterraneus. Its description in RNAcentral is "partial Bacterial large subunit ribosomal RNA". It matches the Rfam family "Bacterial large subunit ribosomal RNA", at positions 500 to 750 of the family's 2925-position model. Lineage: Eukaryota; Viridiplantae; Chlorophyta; Mamiellophyceae; Mamiellales; Bathycoccaceae. The record is from RNAcentral.
ACCGCGAGGGAAAGAUGAAAAGAGCCCCUUUGAGGGGAGUGAAAUAGAACAUGAAACCGUAUACUUACAAUUGGUAGGAGGAUGAACACAUCUGACUGCAUGCCUGUUGAAGAAUGAUCUGGCGACUUACGGUAAGUGGCAUGGUUAAGAUUUUUCAUCGAAGCCAAAGCGAAAGCAUGUCUGAAUAGGGCACUCGUCCCUUAUCGUAGACCCGAACCCAGGUUAUCUAACCAUGACCAGAAUGAAG